GCGGCGGACGGGUGAGUAACACGUGGACAAUCUGGCCCCCCGGCCCGGGAUAGCCCAGGGAAACCUGGAUUAAUACCGGAUGAGACGGGACCCGCGAUGGCGGGACCCGGGAAAGGCGCUGCGGCGCCGCCGGGGGAUGAGUCUGCGUCCCAUUAGCUAGACGCGGGGUAACGGCCCACCGUGGCGACGAUGGGUAGCCGGCCUGAGAGGGUGGACGGCCACAUUGGAACUGAGACACGGUCCAGACUCCUACGGGAGGCAGCAGCUAGGAAUCUUCCGCAAUGGGCGAAAGCCUGACGGAGCGAACCGCCGCGUGAACGAAGAAGGCCGUGAGGGUUGUAAAGUUCUUUUCGGGAGGGGGGAACAAACCGUGGCAGGGAAUGGCCGCGGGAUGACGUGAAUCUCGGAAUAAGCCCCGGCUAACUACGUGCCAGCCGCGGC
This 441-nucleotide ribosomal RNA is filed under the name uncultured bacterium. RNAcentral describes it as "bacterial SSU rRNA". It matches the Rfam family "Bacterial small subunit ribosomal RNA", at positions 95 to 518 of the family's 1533-position model. The record is from RNAcentral.